UUGAACGCUGGUGGCAUGCUUAACACAUGCAAGUCGAACGGUAGCAGACCUAGCUUGCUAGGUGCUGACGAGUGGCGGACGGGUGAGUAACGCGUAGGAAUCUGCCUUGCAGUGGGGGAUAACACUAGGAAACUGGUGCUAAUACCGCAUACGCCCUUAGGGGGAAAGAUUUAUUGCUGCAAGAUGAGCCUGCGUCAGAUUAGCUAGUUGGUGGGGUAAAGGCCUACCAAGGCGAAGAUCUGUAGCUGUUCUGAGAGGAAGAUCAGCCACACUGGGACUGAGACACGGCCCAGACUCCUACGGGAGGCAGCAGUGGGGGAUAUUGGACAAUGGGGGCAACCCUGAUCCAGCAAUGCCACGUGUGUGAAGAAGGCCUGCGGGUUGUAAAGCACUUUCAGAAGGGAAGAAGGACACGCAAGUGUUUUGACAUUACUUUCAGAAGAAGCACCGGCUAACUCUGUGCCAGCAG
This 469-nucleotide ribosomal RNA is filed under the name uncultured bacterium. Its description in RNAcentral is "bacterial SSU rRNA". It matches the Rfam family "Bacterial small subunit ribosomal RNA", at positions 30 to 514 of the family's 1533-position model. The record is from RNAcentral.